Molecule: ribosomal RNA, 254 nt
Filed under: uncultured bacterium
Lineage: Bacteria
Description: partial 16S ribosomal RNA
Rfam family: Bacterial small subunit ribosomal RNA
Source: RNAcentral
UACGGGGGGAGCAAGCGUUGUUCGGAUUUACUGGGCGUAAAGGGCGCGUAGGCGGCCACUGCAAGUCGGUUGUGAAAUCUCCGGGCUUAACCCGGAAAGGUCAAUCGAUACUGCAGGGCUAGAGUGCAGAAGGGGCAACUGGAAUUCUCGGUGUAGCGGUGAAAUGCGUAGAUAUCGAGAGGAACACCUGCGGCAAAGGCGGGUUGCUGGGCCGACACUGACGCUGAUGCGCGAAAGCCAGGGGAGCGAACGGG